UUUGCAGAUAUUUGCUUCUAUGGUCACUGGAUAAACUUCAGAAGCAUCAUGGUGGACGCCAAUGCAAAGUAAAGCUGCCAAAUUCCUGACACCAAAGAAGCUAAGAGCUGAAGGAAAUCCAACGCAUGAGGAUGGGAACAAGGAUGAUAUGGUCCUUGAGAGAUGAAUUUUCAACUGCCUGCCUCACAAGCACAAGAACCCAAGUUCAAAUCCCCAGUACCAAAAAAAAAAGAGAGAGAUGAAUUUUAAUACAUAUUAAUAAAUAUUAGGUAAG
This 274-nucleotide long non-coding RNA is filed under the name Fukomys damarensis (Damara mole-rat). Its description in RNAcentral is "lncRNA (ENSFDAG00000021761.1)". The record is from RNAcentral. Lineage: Eukaryota; Metazoa; Chordata; Mammalia; Rodentia; Bathyergidae.